GACGAACGCUGGCGGCGUGCUUAACACAUGCAAGUCGAACGCUGAAGCUUGGUGCUUGCACUGGGUGGAUGAGUGGCGAACGGGUGAGUAAUACGUGAGUAACCUGCCCUUGAUUCUGGGAUAAGCCUGGGAAACUGGGUCUAAUACUGGAUACGACAUGUCACCGCAUGGUGGUGUGUGGAAAGGGUUUUACUGGUUUUGGAUGGGCUCACGGCCUAUCAGCUUGUUGGUGGGGUAAUGGCUCACCAAGGCGACGACGGGUAGCCGGCCUGAGAGGGUGACCGGCCACACUGGGACUGAGACACGGCCCAGACUCCUACGGGAGGCAGCAGUGGGGAAUAUUGCACAAUGGGCGGAAGCCUGAUGCAGCGACGCCGCGUGAGGGAUGACGGCCUUCGGGUUGUAAACCUCUUUCAGCACGGAAGAAGCGAAAGUGACGGUACGUGCAGAAGAAGCGCCGGCUAACUACGUG
RNAcentral lists this ribosomal RNA (472 nucleotides) under uncultured bacterium. RNAcentral's name for it is "partial 16S ribosomal RNA". It matches the Rfam family "Bacterial small subunit ribosomal RNA", at positions 28 to 507 of the family's 1533-position model. The record is from RNAcentral.